GCACUGCAAAAGCACGUUCGAGUGUCUCUCUCAUGGGCUGCGUCUUCUUCCUUGAGGCAGCUUUCCGCCCUCCAACCAGUGAUGAGGAACUCCGACUCCUCCCAAAUACCAAUCGUGAUGCCGAUUUGGUAGAGCCGGCAGCUGCGCUGACCGUUCGUUGGAUUCAUGAUCCUUACUUCCUUCCUUCCUCGGUCGCGGCCGCGUGACUUUGGACAGAUUAAAUCUUCUGCAAAAUGAUGGUUCUCGAUUCUCUAUCAUCUCCUCAUAGGAGAUCACAGAACUAGGUUUUUCUGACAUCCUCUUCCAAGUAGCUUGGUAGCUGGUUUAUUCUUUUGGAGCGGCACAAGUUCCUCUUGACGAUGCUAGCUCUACUGGCAUUCCUAUGCGCCAUCUAUCUGUACUUCGCAGUUACGUUGGGGGCUGCAGGUUCAUGCCCAGGAAUGUCAGCAGCCGAAAAGGCACUUUGUCAGGCCAAAGCUUCUUUGCACAAGGGGAAAUUGAAAUUCUUUUGACUAGCAUGUGGUUUUGGAGCAUCCAUGAAAGGGAUGCCUCUAAAAUCCAUAAACAAUUCAUAAUGUUUCAUUUGUCUUGUUGAAGAGUAUGUGUGUGUUUCUAGUGACACAGUUUGUGGUUGAUGUGUUGGCUAUGAUAAGGGUGUUCUUCAUUUGUAGAACAUGAUAUUCCUAGAUAAAAAUGGAUCUUCUUCUUGUUGCUCUGUUCAUAGAGAGUCACAUUCUUCA
Molecule: long non-coding RNA, 740 nt
Organism: Musa acuminata AAA Group (dessert banana)
Lineage: Eukaryota; Viridiplantae; Streptophyta; Magnoliopsida; Zingiberales; Musaceae
Exons: 2
Source: RefSeq, a predicted model, not a curated record